AGUGAACGCUGGCGGCAGGCCUAACACAUGCAAGUCGAGCGGCAGCGGGUCCUUCGGGAUGCCGGCGAGCGGCGGACGGGUGAGGAAUGCAUCGGAAUCUGCCCUGUCGUGGGGGAUAACCUAGGGAAACUUAGGCUAAUACCGCAUACGACCCACGGGUGAAAGCGGGUGAUCGCAAGACCUCGCGCGAUAGGAUGAGCCGAUGUCCGAUUAGCUAGUUGGCGGGGUAAAGGCCAACCAAGGCGACGAUCGGUAGCUGGUCUGAGAGGAUGAUCAGCCACCCUGGGACUGAGACACGGCCCAGACUCCUACGGGAGGCAGCAUUGGGGAAUAUUGAGCAAUGGGCGCAAGCCUGAUCCAGCCAUGCCGCGUGGGUGAAGAAGGCCUUCGGGUUGUAAAGCCCUUUUGUCCGGGAAGAAUUCGUCUGGGCUAAUACCCCGGGCGGAUGACGGUACCGGAAGAAUAAGCACCGGCUAACUUCGUG
This 484-nucleotide ribosomal RNA is filed under the name uncultured bacterium. RNAcentral describes it as "partial 16S ribosomal RNA". It matches the Rfam family "Bacterial small subunit ribosomal RNA", at positions 30 to 507 of the family's 1533-position model. The record is from RNAcentral.